Canis lupus familiaris (dog) is the source of this 887-nucleotide long non-coding RNA. RefSeq lists it as uncharacterized. The transcript has 3 exons. The record is from RefSeq and is a predicted model, not a curated record. Lineage: Eukaryota; Metazoa; Chordata; Mammalia; Carnivora; Canidae.
CACAGGUUAGGGCUCUAUCACCCACGCUGGCUCACCCCAGUGCCUAAUGUGGAGUGGGUUCCCAACCAAUGCUAACUGACGAGAUCUGUGUGACAACCUGACAACACAACUGAGUUAGACAUUAAGGCUCCUUAAAACUCCAGAGAAAUGAAAUCCAGCUUCACAACAUUUCUUGAUACCAGCAGAUCCCCCUGAGUGUGGCAAAUGCAGUCACACAGGCAUGCGGUGCUUCAGAGAAUAAAAGAGAAUGGAUUUCCAAGCAAGAUACAUUGCAGGUUUGGUGUGCCCACCAAGUUGAGCAAACUGACAGAGACGCAUACCGAUUUUAGGAGGAAAAGCUGGACAAGCAUCUUAACUGCCUUCAUUUGAGACAACUUACUGGUCAUGCUUCUCCCAGUCAUGGAAGUUCUACUCCCACAUUCACAUUUCACUAUGACACAGAAUGUGGCCAAAGUGAGGCCAUCUCUACGGUCAAAAAUGGAGAGGGAAAGACUAAACUGAAAUGUUUGUAAGAAUGUUCUUUGGGAUAAGCUGGUCACUUUACGGACAGAGCAACCUUCUUAAGAUAGGCGAAGGUUGUUGAAACAUGGGUUAAGGCCCAAGAGCGACGGUGGUGAAAGGCAUCCAAAAAGGCAAGCACUUCUACCGAUCCCUCACUUGGGAGACAGACAAGAAAGAUAUAGGUGAAGAAAACCAGCCUGGUCUCUUUAAGAAAAUGACUAAGUGGGAGGACAGAGGGCACAGAGGCUCUUGUACCUUCUUUGUUGAGUAAGUGAUCAAAGCAACCCACCCAAGGUUAGAAACAUUCUCACCAACUGCUUAUGCUUUCCUAGUUGAUGUGCUGAAACUGCUCCUAUGUAGAGGAUUUUAAUACUGGACGUAAUGAU